AUACUUACCUGGCCAGGGAGAUGCCAUAAUUACGAAGGUGAUUUUUCCAGGACAAGGUUUUCCCAUUGCAUUUGGAUGUGCUGAAGCUUGUGACUUUCCCAAAUGUGGGAAACUUGACUUCAUAAUUUGUGGUAGUGGGGGAUAUAUUUGCGCUCUCCUCUG
This is a small nuclear RNA of Pipistrellus kuhlii (Kuhl's pipistrelle), 162 nucleotides long. RefSeq annotates it as U1 spliceosomal RNA. The record is from RefSeq and is a predicted model, not a curated record. NCBI's taxonomy places the organism in Eukaryota, Metazoa, Chordata, Mammalia, Chiroptera, Vespertilionidae. The transcript has a single exon.